CCUACGGGCGGCAGCAGUGAGGAAUAUUGGUCAAUGGCCGGAAGGCUGAACCAGCCAUGCCGCGUGAAGGUCAGUGCCCCAUGGGCGUUAAACUUCUUUUGUGCGGGAGCAAUAAUGGUCACGUGUGGCCAGACGAGAGUACCGUACGAAUAAGCAUCGGCUAACUCCGUGCCAGCAGCCGCGGUAAUACGGGCGAGGCCAGCGUUAUCCGGAGUUAUUGGGUUUAAAGGGUGCGUAGGCUGUGAGGUAAGUCAGCGGUGAAAUGCCCCCGCUCAACGGGGUGAAGUGCCAUUGAUACUGCCUUGCUGGAGUGCGGAUGCCGUGGGAGGAAUGUGUGGUGUAGCGGUGAAAUGCAUAGAUAUCACACAGAACACCGAUUGCGAAGGCAGCUCACGAAUCCGCGAUUGACGCUGAUGCACGAAAGCGUGGGUAUCAAACAGGAUUAGAUACCCGAGUAGUC
Molecule: ribosomal RNA, 460 nt
Filed under: uncultured bacterium
Lineage: Bacteria
Description: partial 16S ribosomal RNA
Rfam family: Bacterial small subunit ribosomal RNA
Source: RNAcentral